RNAcentral lists this ribosomal RNA (434 nucleotides) under uncultured Lachnospiraceae bacterium. Its description in RNAcentral is "partial 16S ribosomal RNA". It matches the Rfam family "Bacterial small subunit ribosomal RNA", at positions 341 to 792 of the family's 1533-position model. The record is from RNAcentral. Lineage: Bacteria; Bacillati; Bacillota; Clostridia; Lachnospirales; Lachnospiraceae.
ACGGAAGGCAGCAGUGGGGAAUAUUGCACAAUGGGCGAAAGCCUGAUGCAGCGACGCCGCGUGAGUGAAGAAGUAUUUCGGUAUGUAAAGCUCUAUCAGCAGGGAAGAUAAUGACGGUACCUGACUAAGAAGCACCGGCUAAAUACGUGCCAGCAGCCGCGGUAAUACGUAUGGUGCAAGCGUUAUCCGGAUUUACUGGGUGUAAAGGGAGCGUAGACGGCAUGGCAAGUCUGAAGUGAAAGCCCGGGGCUUAACCCCGGGACUGCUUUGGAAACUGUUAAGCUAGAGUGCAGGAGAGGUAAGUGGAAUUCCUAGUGUAGCGGUGAAAUGCGUAGAUAUUAGGAGGAACACCAGUGGCGAAGGCGGCUUACUGGACUGUAACUGACGUUGAGGCUCGAAAGCGUGGGGAGCAAACAGGAUUAGAUACCCUGGUA